UAUGAAGGUAAAACACCAGCCCUGCUCACCUGUAGUCUCUAUGAUGAUAUGAAGGUAAAACACCAGCCCUGCUCACCUGUAGUCUCUAUGAUGAUAUGAAGGUAAAACACCAGCCCUGCUCACCUGUAGUCUCUAUGAUGAUAUGAAGGCAAAACACCAGCCCUGCUCACCUGUAGUCUCUAUGAUGAUAUGAAGGUAAAACACCAGCCCUGCUCACCUGUAGUCUCUAUGAUGAUAUGAAGGUAAAACACCAGCCCUGCUCACCUGUAGUCUCUAUGAUGAUAUGAAGGUAAAACACCAGCCCUGCUCACCUGUAGUCUCUAUGAUGAUAUGAAGGUAAAACACCAGCCCUGCUCACCUGUAGUCUCUAUGAUGAUAUGAAGGCAAAACACCAGCCCUGCUCACCUGUAGUCUCUAUGAUGAUAUGAAGGUAAAACACCAGCCCUGCUCACCUGUAGUCUCUAUGAUGAUAUGAAGGCAAAACACCAGCCCUGCUCACCUGUAGUCUCUAUGAUGAUAUGAAGGCAAAACACCAGCCCUGCUCACCUGUAGUCUCUAUGAUGAUAUGAAGGCAAAACACCAGCCCUGCUCACCUGUAGUCUCUAUGAUGAUAUGAAGGCAAAACACCAGCCCUGCUCACCUGUAGUCUCUAUGAUGAUAUGAAGGCAAAACACCAGCCCUGCUCACCUGUAGUCUCUAUGAUGAUAUGAAGGUAAAACACCAGCCCUGCUCACCU
Oncorhynchus keta (chum salmon) is the source of this 736-nucleotide long non-coding RNA. RefSeq lists it as uncharacterized. The record is from RefSeq and is a predicted model, not a curated record. NCBI's taxonomy places the organism in Eukaryota, Metazoa, Chordata, Actinopteri, Salmoniformes, Salmonidae. The transcript has 5 exons.